GAUGAACGCUGGCGGCGUGCUUAACACAUGCAAGUCGAACGGAGCGAUUUGACGGAAGUUUUCGGAUGGAAGUUAAAUUGACUGAGUGGCGGACGGGUGAGUAACGCGUGGGUAACCUGCCUCACACUGGGGGACAACAGUUAGAAAUGACUGCUAAUACCGCAUAAGCGCACAGGACCGCAUGGUCCGGUGUGAAAAACUCCGGUGGUGUGAGAUGGACCCGCGUUUGAUUAGCUAGUUGGUGGGGUAACGGCCUACCAAGGCGACGAUCAAUAGCCGACCUGAGAGGGUGACCGGCCACAUUGGGACUGAGACACGGCCCAAACUCCUACGGGAGGCAGCAGUGGGGAAUAUUGCACAAUGGGGGAAACCCUGAUGCAGCGACGCCGCGUGAGUGAAGAAGUAUUUCGGUAUGUAAAGCUCUAUCAGCAGGGAAGAAAAUGACGGUAC
RNAcentral lists this ribosomal RNA (450 nucleotides) under uncultured bacterium. Its description in RNAcentral is "bacterial SSU rRNA". It matches the Rfam family "Bacterial small subunit ribosomal RNA", at positions 28 to 478 of the family's 1533-position model. The record is from RNAcentral.